ACAAGCACAGAAGGCCUCCUGUUUUACUUUUCAAGCAGAAAGGAGUUACUCGAUUUGACAUCACCUGCUACAACCUGGCAGGAGUCCAGGCUUUGAAUGUGUUCCAAAAAAAUGACCAGCGAAGAGGAAACAUUUUCUUCAUCAUCAUUCAUCCUAAACAAUUUGGAAGCUGCACAGGCCCAUCAGCGUCUCUUUAAUGGCAGGCGCAGCUCUGUUUAUUAUGCAGUGUACUGUACACAGAGUACAGUGGAUUGAGGGGAGAUGGGAUGAGAUGGGACAUGAAUCACCAGCUGGAUCUGAACCAGGCAGAAGAUUUAGAAAGGCAGCCAAGACUUCCUUCUUUCCAGUCACGUCCUCCGGCUCUUCCUCAGGGAUCCCAAGGUGUUUCCAGGUCAGAUGGGAUAUGUAUUCCCUCCAGCAUGUUCUUGGUCUGCCCCAAGGUCGCCUCCCAAAUGGAUGUGCCUAGAAACCUCUAAAGGGAGACGUGAAGACAGCUGAAGAGAGACAGGAAAUCUGGGGAGGAGUGAGCGGGGG
Molecule: long non-coding RNA, 534 nt
Organism: Notolabrus celidotus (New Zealand spotty)
Lineage: Eukaryota; Metazoa; Chordata; Actinopteri; Labriformes; Labridae
Exons: 3
Source: RefSeq, a predicted model, not a curated record